UCCCUGGUGGCUCAGAUGGUAAAGAAUUUGCCUGCAAUGCAGGAGACCCAGGUUCAAUCCCUGGGUCGGGAA
This 72-nucleotide transfer RNA is filed under the name Bos taurus (domestic cattle). It matches the Rfam family "tRNA". From Rfam's summary of the family: Transfer RNA (tRNA) molecules are approximately 80 nucleotides in length. Lineage: Eukaryota; Metazoa; Chordata; Mammalia; Artiodactyla; Bovidae. RNAcentral also lists the same sequence under 5 other names. The record is from Rfam by way of RNAcentral.